Non-coding RNA from Eggerthella sp. YY7918, 370 nucleotides. It matches the Rfam family "transfer-messenger RNA". From Rfam's summary of the family: Bacterial tmRNA, also known as 10Sa RNA or SsrA, is named for its dual tRNA and mRNA-like properties. Its role is to liberate the mRNA from a stalled ribosome. The record is from Rfam. NCBI's taxonomy places the organism in Bacteria, Bacillati, Actinomycetota, Coriobacteriia, Eggerthellales, Eggerthellaceae.
GGGGGCGACUGGUUUCGACAUGGUAUGUCCGAAAUGAGGAGCAGGUCGUGGUCUCCUCGCCACGUUAAACAGGGGUACCGUCAAUUUAAUUGGCAAGAACAACACUCAGAGCGCUCCUGCGCUCGCCAUGGCUGCUUAAACUGCGCCUGGCUGUCGUCCGCGGGAUGUCCCCGACUCGCGGUUCGGCAUCAACCUAGGGGAAUGCGCUUGAGCACGUAGCCAGUAUGGCUCAGGCAAAGGUUGAACUGGCUAGGAAGCGCACCGUUUGUUGGUGAACCUCGCGCAACCGAAUGCUGAUCGCCAACUAAGCUUGUAGAGCCUCAUGGACGAUAUAGUAUGGACCGGAGUUCGAUUCUCCGCGCCUCCACCA